GAUGAAAGCUGGCGGCGCGCCUAAUACAUGCGCGUCGAGUGAACAGUCGAAGAGAUUGCUCCUCUCUAGCAAGCGGCGGCAGGGCGAGUAACAAGAGGCUUACCCACCUAUACAACUGGGACUACUUCGACCAACCGGCGCUAUUACUGGAUCAUAUUUCCAACCGCAUGGUCCUAUAGCGAUAGCCGGUUCUCAUGUCACUUAUACACGGACCAGCGCCGCAUUAGAUAGUUGGUAAGGUAACGGCUUACUAACGCAUCGACGCGUAGCCGACCGGAGAGGGUGAUCAGCCACACUGGAACUGAGACACAGUCCAGACUCCUACUGGAGGCGGCAGUAGAGAAUCUUCCACUAGAGCCGGAAGCCUGACGGAGCAACGCCGCAUGAGUGAUGAAGGUCUUCGGAUCGUAAAACGCUGUUAUGAGGGAAGAACAAAUGUUUAAGUAGCUAUGCACGACUUUACGGUACCUAAUCAGAAAGCCACGCCUAACUACGUG
Molecule: ribosomal RNA, 497 nt
Filed under: uncultured bacterium
Lineage: Bacteria
Description: partial 16S ribosomal RNA
Rfam family: Bacterial small subunit ribosomal RNA
Source: RNAcentral